GAAUACUCAUGGCAGUUGUUCUCGAGUCAACAGUACACUGAACUGAGAAUCAUCUCUCUCUGACAUGUCCGACAUGCUGAGAACUGAUGAGUGAGCUGCUGAUUCUGUCUAUGAAAGCCCUGACAGCUAUUUGGAAGGUGCAAGUACUGCCAGCCAAAGGAUAGAAUACUGGUGGGGGUUUCUGUGCAAGGAAUGCAUGGAAUAUUGGAUUUCCCUGUUUGCUGACCUCAGGGACAAUGGAUUCUUCGAUGGCGGAUUCUUGGACAAAAGUCUGCUCCAAUUCUGCUGCAUGGUUACUCAUCCAAGAUGAGCUUGAUGACACUGCACAGGUUUGGAAUGCACACACCAUUAGACCAUCAAAGAACAUCAGCAAACCCAGUGGAUGGCCCAUUGUGAUGUAUGGACUGCCUGAACUCUACCUCACCAGAGACUUCCUCACCUCAGCUGACACUGAAAGUGUUCAAUUGUGCAAAAAUGAAUGCACUUUCUAAAGCCCCAUACCGUGUGAUCCAGAUGUAAAUGAACUGUGUAACGUUAUCAUUUCUGAGUCUCAGUUGAACCUUCCAAGAGACCCAUAUCAAGCUGUGAACUUAUACAUGCAUUUAAGGGAUGUGAUCAGGGCAUUACUGUAACAACUGCAAGGCUCUUUGAAAUGUCUUACAUAUUUAGUAGACAAUACCCCUGCAGAAAUCCUGCAAUAUCGUAAAAUGUUUUUAUGAAGAAUUAGAAUUUACCAAACCUCAAUAUUGAUACAUGAAGAAUUAGAAUUUACCACAUUACAAUAUUGAUACAUAAAACUCAUUAAAGAA
Molecule: long non-coding RNA, 809 nt
Organism: Myxocyprinus asiaticus (Chinese sucker)
Lineage: Eukaryota; Metazoa; Chordata; Actinopteri; Cypriniformes; Catostomidae
Exons: 3
Source: RefSeq, a predicted model, not a curated record